RNAcentral lists this ribosomal RNA (274 nucleotides) under uncultured bacterium. Its description in RNAcentral is "partial 16S ribosomal RNA". It matches the Rfam family "Bacterial small subunit ribosomal RNA", at positions 523 to 796 of the family's 1533-position model. The record is from RNAcentral.
AUACGGAGGGAGCGAGCGUUAAUCGGAAUUACUGGGCGUAAAGCGCGCGUAGGCGGCUUUGUAAGUCGGAUGUGAAAGCCCUGGGCUUAACCUGGGAAUGGCAUUCGAUACUGCAGAGCUAGAGUAUGGUAGAGGGAAGUGGAAUUUCCGGUGUAGCGGUGAAAUGCGUAGAUAUCGGGAGGAACAUCAGUGGCGAAGGCGGCUUUCUGGACCAAUACUGACGCUGAGGUGCGAAAGCGUGGGGAGCAAACAGGAUUAGAAACCCCAGUAGUCC